This 466-nucleotide ribosomal RNA is filed under the name uncultured bacterium. Its description in RNAcentral is "partial 16S ribosomal RNA". It matches the Rfam family "Bacterial small subunit ribosomal RNA", at positions 28 to 507 of the family's 1533-position model. The record is from RNAcentral.
GACGAACGCUGGCGGCGUGCUUAACACAUGCCAGUCGAACGGAAAGGCCUCUUUCGGGGGGUACUCGAGUGGCGAACGGGUGAGUAACACGUGAGUAACCUGCCCUUGACUUUGGGAUAACUUCAGGAAACUGGGGCUAAUACCGGAUAGGAGCUCCUGCUGCAUGGUGGGGGUUGGAAAGUUUCGGCGGUUGGGGAUGGACUCGCGGCUUAUCAGCUUGUUGGUGGGGUAGUGGCUUACCAAGGCUUUGACGGGUAGCCGGCCUGAGAGGGUGACCGGCCACAUUGGGACUGAGAUACGGCCCAGACUCCUACGGGAGGCAGCAGUGGGGAAUAUUGCACAAUGGGUGGAAGCCUGAUGCAGCAACGCCGUGUGCGGGAUGACGGCCUUCGGGUUGUAACCGCUUUCGCUCAUGACGAAGCUUUGUGUGACGGUAGUGGGUAAAGAAGCACCGGCUAACUACGUG